Molecule: long non-coding RNA, 638 nt
Organism: Orcinus orca (killer whale)
Lineage: Eukaryota; Metazoa; Chordata; Mammalia; Artiodactyla; Delphinidae
Exons: 3
Source: RefSeq, a predicted model, not a curated record
AUAGACCUCCUCAAAUCAAACAUAAGCCACAAGGGAGCUCAGGGGCCCUCGUGUAACAUCUGCGGAACUGGGUGAUACACAUGUUUCGGAUUUCAUCUUAACUGUGCUUUUUCCAGGAUAUCAAGAUCCUCUUGCAAACUGAUUCUGUGACCUGAUGCAUUUUCCAGCCCUCUCAGCUUUGUGUUUUCCACAGCAUCAAGAAGCACACCUUCUAUGUCUUCGUCCAAGUCAUUGAUAACAAUGUUGAGUGGACAGAGCUAACGCAGAUCCCUGUGGUAUGCCACUAGAGUCACCUUUUUCCUUUGAUGUGGUCGAAUCAGUGGAGAGUCCAUCACAUUCCUGACAUCUGUCCACUGGAAUAGCCAAGAGACUUGAUCAAAUUCCUCUCUGGACUCCAAAGAAUCUCUGCCCACAACAUUCCUCAGACCUGUCACUCUUAAUGCCUUCCCACGAAAGGAAAGAGAUGGGUACCGAACGCCAGGAACUCAACUCUCCUGCAGCUGUGCUAUUGCCACCUAUGCCUUAGGAAUUUGACAUUGUAUCCCAAAAGCGAGAAGCCUAGGCUGCCAGCAACACCAGUAAAGCAAUGCCCCCCCCCCACCCCAGAGCUUUGUAUUUGUUUCUGAGUGGAAGUCUCG